CUUUUCCUCCCGGGCCGGAGCCGCGGCUGGGCCAGGAGCUCAGACUGCGAGCCCGAGGUUGGUGGGCGCUGGGGGUGCCCGGCGGAGAAAGGUUUUCUUUGUCAUUGCCUUUUUGGCACGGCCUGACUUUACCAUACGUGGCCGGUAAGCAUCUGGACACAGCAUUAAAAAGGCUUCCUUACUCUUUUUAAAGUAAAAUUG
RNAcentral lists this long non-coding RNA (201 nucleotides) under Homo sapiens (human). Its description in RNAcentral is "HSALNT0283566". The record is from RNAcentral. Lineage: Eukaryota; Metazoa; Chordata; Mammalia; Primates; Hominidae.